GAUGAACGCUGGCGGCGUGCUUAACACAUGCAAGUCGAACGAGGAAUAACCGGUGAGAUCUUCGGAUGGAUCUGAUUAUUCCGAGUGGCGGACGGGUGAGUAACGCGUGGGUAACCUGCCCCAUACAGGGGGACAACAGAGGGAAACUUCUGCUAAUACCGCAUAAGCGGUCCGGAUGGCAUCAUCCGGACCGGAAAGCUCCGGCGGUAUGGGAUGGGCCCGCGUUGGAUUAGGCAGUUGGCGGGGUAACGGCCCACCAAACCGACGAUCCAUAGCCGACCUGAGAGGGUGACCGGCCACAUUGGGACUGAGACACGGCCCAGACUCC
RNAcentral lists this ribosomal RNA (328 nucleotides) under uncultured Ruminococcus sp. Its description in RNAcentral is "bacterial SSU rRNA". It matches the Rfam family "Bacterial small subunit ribosomal RNA", at positions 28 to 339 of the family's 1533-position model. The record is from RNAcentral. Lineage: Bacteria; Bacillati; Bacillota; Clostridia; Eubacteriales; Oscillospiraceae.